RNAcentral lists this ribosomal RNA (93 nucleotides) under Clavaria pullei. RNAcentral's name for it is "partial 5.8S ribosomal RNA". It matches the Rfam family "5.8S ribosomal RNA", at positions 62 to 154 of the family's 154-position model. Rfam says of the family: 5.8S ribosomal RNA (5.8S rRNA) is a component of the large subunit of the eukaryotic ribosome. It is transcribed by RNA polymerase I as part of the 45S precursor that also contains 18S and 28S rRNA. Lineage: Eukaryota; Fungi; Basidiomycota; Agaricomycetes; Agaricales; Clavariaceae. The record is from RNAcentral.
GUAAUGUGAAUUGCAGAUUCAGUGAAUCAUCGAAUCUUUGAACGCACAUGGCACCCUCDRGUAUUCCGGAGGGUAUGCCUGUUUGAGUGUCAU